GACGAGGGAUCCUAGCGUUGCUCGGAAUCAUUGGGCGUAAAGCGGGUGUAGGUGGCUUUGUAAGUCAGAUGUGAAAGCCCAGGGCUUAACCCUGGAAGUGCAUUUGAUACUGCGAAGCUUGAGUGUUGGAGAGGUCAUCGGAAUACCUGGUGUAGUGGUGAAAUACGUAGAUAUCAGGUGGAACACCGGAGGCGAAGGCGGGUGACUGGCCAAACACUGACACUGAGGCACGAAAGCGUGGGGAGCGAACAGG
RNAcentral lists this ribosomal RNA (253 nucleotides) under uncultured bacterium. RNAcentral describes it as "partial 16S ribosomal RNA". It matches the Rfam family "Bacterial small subunit ribosomal RNA", at positions 524 to 776 of the family's 1533-position model. The record is from RNAcentral.